GUCUGUUAGAAAGUUUCAAAUAUUAAGAGUCGGCCCUGCCGGUGGGAUGCGGUGGCAUCGUAAACGGUUGCGGUUCGUAGCUGCACUAAGGUAGCGCAAUAGGUUGUCCUUUAAAUGGGGAAGAGUAUGAAUGGGUUGACGUGGUCUAAGCUGUCUCUUUAACAAUAUUCAAAAUUUUCUUUUUAGUGAAAAGGCUGAGAUAUUUGUAAAAGACGAGAAGACCCCAUGGAUCUUGAUUAAUAAGUAAUUAUAUAUUGCUUAGGAAGUUUUACUGGGACAGUAGGAAUAUAUAUAAAAUUAUUCUUUUUUUAAGAGAUCCUUUCAAAAUAAAGUCAAAGGAAAAAGUUACCCUGGGGAUAACAGCGUAAUCUUUUUCUAGAGGACUAAUCGAAAAAAAGGUUUGCGACCUCGAUGUUGGAUUUAGGAAGCCUUUUGGUUGCAGGAGCUAAGCGGGUAAGACUGUUCGUCUUUUAAACCCUAACA
RNAcentral lists this ribosomal RNA (483 nucleotides) under Sphenia fragilis. Its description in RNAcentral is "partial 16S ribosomal RNA". It matches the Rfam family "Bacterial large subunit ribosomal RNA", at positions 1821 to 2600 of the family's 2925-position model. The record is from RNAcentral. Lineage: Eukaryota; Metazoa; Mollusca; Bivalvia; Myida; Myidae.